CAAUAUGAAACAUUGCUGCAGAAGGAUUGACAUCAAAAUACCCUUCCAUCACAGGACAGGACAGGCAGGCUUGUAGUGCUGUAGUGCCUUCCACUAGGCUAUUCCUCUUGUCAGCAGAGUAAGGCUCUGCAUUGUCACAGAAUGCAGCUUCACAAGAAAUAGAAGCAACUUUUGUAAAGUUAGUAGAUGAAGAAGACAUCAGUACUGGCUCAAAUUCCACAAGUUUUCGGUUUUUUUGUGACAACUGCCUUAUUUCCUGUAUAUGCACACGACUGUUCCCAGAGUGCAAGACGUACAUAUCCACCACGAAAUCACCUGAGGUCUUUGUUUUUUC
Molecule: long non-coding RNA, 334 nt
Filed under: Gallus gallus (chicken)
Lineage: Eukaryota; Metazoa; Chordata; Aves; Galliformes; Phasianidae
Source: RNAcentral